RNAcentral lists this ribosomal RNA (459 nucleotides) under uncultured bacterium. RNAcentral describes it as "partial 16S ribosomal RNA". It matches the Rfam family "Bacterial small subunit ribosomal RNA", at positions 338 to 795 of the family's 1533-position model. The record is from RNAcentral.
CCUACGGGUGGCAGCAGUGAGGAAUAUUGGUCAAUGGGAGAGAUCCUGAACCAGCCAAGCCGCGUGAGGGAAGACGGCCCUAUGGGUUGUAAACCUCUUUUGUCGGGGAACAAAACCCGGGACGUGUCCCGGACUGCGUGUAUCCGAAGAAAAAGCAUCGGCUAACUCCGUGCCAGCAGCCGCGGUAAUACGGAGGAUGCGAGCGUUAUCCGGAUUUAUUGGGUUUAAAGGGUGCGUAGGCGGUCCGUUAAGUCAGCGGUAAAAUUGCGGGGCUCAACCCCGUCGAGCCGUUGAAACUGGCAGACUUGAGUUGGCGAGAAGUACGCGGAAUGCGCGGUGUAGCGGUGAAAUGCAUAGAUAUCGCGCAGAACUCCGAUUGCGAAGGUAGCUUGCUAAUCCGCAUCUGACGCUGAUGCACGAAAGCGUGGGUAGCGAACAGGAUUAGAUACCCUUGUAGUC